RNAcentral lists this ribosomal RNA (724 nucleotides) under bacterium IMCC8474. RNAcentral's name for it is "bacterial SSU rRNA". It matches the Rfam family "Bacterial small subunit ribosomal RNA", at positions 28 to 750 of the family's 1533-position model. The record is from RNAcentral. RNAcentral also lists the same sequence under 2 other names.
AUUGAACGCUGGCGGCAGGCCUAACACAUGCAAGUCGAGCGCGAAAACACUUCGGUGUGAGUAGAGCGGCGGACGGGUGAGUAACGCGUAGGAAUCUACCUAGUAGUGGGGGACAACUCGGGGAAACUCGAGCUAAUACCGCAUAAGCCCUACGGGGGAAAGCGGGGGACCUUCGGGCCUCGCGCUAUUAGAUGAGCCUGCGUUGGAUUAGCUAGUUGGUGGGGUAAAGGCCUACCAAGGCGACGAUCCAUAGCUGGUCUGAGAGGAUGAUCAGCCACACCGGGACUGAGACACGGCCCGGACUCCUACGGGAGGCAGCAGUGGGGAAUAUUGCGCAAUGGGCGAAAGCCUGACGCAGCCAUGCCGCGUGUGUGAAGAAGGCCUUCGGGUUGUAAAGCACUUUCAAUUGGGAGGAAAGGUUCACGGUUAAUAACCGUGAGCUGUGACGUUACCUUUAGAAGAAGCACCGGCUAACUCCGUGCCAGCAGCCGCGGUAAUACGGAGGGUGCGAGCGUUAAUCGGAAUUACUGGGCGUAAAGCGCGCGUAGGUGGUCUGUUAAGUCGGAUGUGAAAGCCCCGGGCUCAACCUGGGAACUGCAUUCGAUACUGGCAGACUAGAGUGCGAGAGAGGGAGGUAGAAUUCCAUGUGUAGCGGUGAAAUGCGUAGAUAUGUGGAGGAAUACCAGUGGCGAAGGCGGCCUCCUGGCUCGACACUGACACUGAG